This 486-nucleotide ribosomal RNA is filed under the name uncultured bacterium. RNAcentral's name for it is "partial 16S ribosomal RNA". It matches the Rfam family "Bacterial small subunit ribosomal RNA", at positions 30 to 507 of the family's 1533-position model. The record is from RNAcentral.
AUUGAACGCUGGCGGCAUGCCUUACACAUGCAAGUCGAACGGCAGCACGGGUGCUUGCACCUGGUGGCGAGUGGCGAACGGGUGAGUAAUACAUCGGAACAUGUCCUGUAGUGGGGGAUAGCCCGGCGAAAGCCGGAUUAAUACCGCAUACGAUCUACGGAUGAAAGCGGGGGACCUUCGGGUCUCGCGCUAUAGGGUUGGCCGAUGGCUGAUUAGCUAGUUGGUGGGGUAAAGGCCUACCAAGGCGACGAUCAGUAGCUGGUCUGAGAGGACGACCAGCCACACUGGGACUGAGACACGGCCCAGACUCCUAAGGGAGGCAGCAGUGGGGAAUUUUGGACAAUGGGCGAAAGCCUGAUCCAGCAAUGCCGCGUGUGUGAAGAAGGCCUUCGGGUUGUAAAGCACUUUUGUCCGGAAAGAAAUCCUUGGCUCUAAUACAGUCGGGGGAUGACGGUACCGGAAGAAUAAGCACCGGCUAACUACGUG